This 318-nucleotide ribosomal RNA is filed under the name Triticum aestivum (bread wheat). RNAcentral describes it as "partial small subunit ribosomal RNA". The record is from RNAcentral. Lineage: Eukaryota; Viridiplantae; Streptophyta; Magnoliopsida; Poales; Poaceae.
AUGGAUACAACCACCAGUAACAUUAUCCAAACUAAAGUGGAUGCAACUACUCCAAGGAACAACAUGUUCAACGUCAUGGCGGUCAUUUGCCGUGACCAUGAUGGGUUUUUCUUAGGAGCUUAUGUAAUUGUGUUUAAACACAUCAAUGAUCCACCUACAUUGGAAGCUCUGGCGAUUCAGGAGGCUCUAGCCCUUGCCGUGGAUCUCAAUUUACAAAGGAUUCAUGUUGCAUCAGACUACAAGGUGGUGGUGGAUGACAUCAAGCAGCUUAGGAUGACCGGCUACGGAGCUAUCACACAUGAAGAUCAUAGACUAUAG